Betta splendens (Siamese fighting fish) is the source of this 1356-nucleotide non-coding RNA. NCBI's taxonomy places the organism in Eukaryota, Metazoa, Chordata, Actinopteri, Anabantiformes, Osphronemidae. The record is from the annotation of a RefSeq genome assembly.
AUGUUAGAUGUGACUUUAGUUUGAAGACACUCGGACACAAAAAGCAGAAAUGAGGAGGGGUCCAGUGUUUCUCACAGCAACGUACGAGGCUCCUCCUACUGACUGCACAUGUGGCUGCUUCACAGCUGGAUUGCAGCUGUGAUCAUCAGACCCACAACAACAGUGUGUCACCUCUGAACAUGGACACACUCGCUGCACUUCUGUUCGUUUCAGCUCUCGUAGGUAACAGCUUGGAAGAUGAUAUUACUGCCAUCAGAACUGAAGUGUUUUCAUCAGAGGGUCGUAGCGUUACUCUCUCCUGUAAAUACUCAGUUAAAGCUCAGAAUCUCCAGUGGUACCGACAGGAUGCUGGAUCAGCUCCUCAGUAUCUACUCCUGAUCACUGAUACUAAACAGCCUGAAGUGAUUCACGCAAAGCCCUCAAACCCUCGACUGACUGCUAAACUGAACGACCAGAGGAAUCAAGUGGAUCUGGAGAUCUCCUCUGCUGCAGUGUCUGACUCUGCUGUGUACUACUGUGCUGUGACGCCCACAGUGACAGGAAACACCUCAACUCUGUACAAAAACCUCUGGAGCAAAGACAACACAAUGCUCCACAGCAUCCACCAGAGGGAGACAUGGUGAAAAACUUUAGGAGUUUCAGACCACAAAUGCCUAAAUAACUAUGAAACUCAUCUAAUACAUCUGUGUCUUGUUGGGGAUAUGAAAGGAGCAUUAUAACUGGGAUAUUAUAGCUCCUGAGUGGUAAUAGUUAUGCUAUAAUAACAAUUAGGUUCACAAACGCUGGUUCCCCAAUGUUCUUCUUCUUCUUUUUUUUGUUCUUGCUGUUAUUUGUCCUCAGAGAUAUUUUGAACACACUCAUCUGUAGAGUUUGGUUUCAAUCACUCAUCUACUGAUGAACUUUACUUGUUAUGACGCAAGUUUAACGUGUUCAUCGUUCUAUCAAGAGUGUUUUUUUGAUCAAUACUCUAAGUCCUCUGUUGUAAAUAUACUGCAUUUUAAUCAUUGAAACAUUUUUUUGCUGAAGACUUGUUAGCUGUGACUUUGUUUUUUUCAGACGCUUUCUCCUUCUGCUCUGCAAUAAAAGUGAGUACCUGUGUCUCCAGAACUGUAACAUCUUUAUCUGAUGUGCUUGGUGCAAGAAAUAUUUUCCCAUGUACUGUGAUUAUGCACCGGCCCAGGGUGGAAACCAUUCAUAUAACUAAGCUGUACUUCCUUCCCUCUUUGAGUGAGAGGAAGUUGCCUGUGCUGUAAACUGCUCACUCCUGCGCAAGUAAAAAUCCUGAAGAAGGUCUCACUUGUUUGUGUCUCUUUUAUUUAAGGUAUAACUACAAAGGGGGAUUCAAUUUCAACAUCU